GAUGAACGCUGGCGGCGUGCCUAAUACAUGCAAGUCGAGCGAACAGACGAGGAGCUUGCUCCUCUGACGUUAGCGGCGGACGGGUGAGUAACACGUGGAUAACCUACCUAUAAGACUGGGAUAACUUCGGGAAACCGGAGCUAAUACCGGAUAAUAUAUUGAACCGCAUGGUUCAAUAGUGAAAGACGGUUUUGCUGUCACUUAUAGAUGGAUCCGCGCCGCAUUAGCUAGUUGGUAAGGUAACGGCUUACCAAGGCAACGAUGCGUAGCCGACCUGAGAGGGUGAUCGGCCACAAUGGAACUGAGACACGGUCCAGACUCCUACGGGAGGCAGCAGUAGGGAAUCUUCCGCAAUGGGCGAAAGCCUGACGGAGCAACGCAGCGUGAGUGAUGAAGGUCUUCGGAUCGUAAAACUCUGUUAUUAGGGAAGAACAAAUGUGUAAGUAACUAUGCACGUCUUGACGGUACCUAAUCAGAAAGCCACGGCUAACUACGUG
Molecule: ribosomal RNA, 497 nt
Filed under: uncultured bacterium
Lineage: Bacteria
Description: partial 16S ribosomal RNA
Rfam family: Bacterial small subunit ribosomal RNA
Source: RNAcentral